UAAAGUGGCGACCGGGUGAGUAACACGUGACUAACCUACCUUCGAUGGGGGAUAACAUCGGGAAACCGAUGCUAAUACCGCAUAAUAUCGCAAGAUCAAAGCAGCAAUGCGCUUGAAGAGGGGGUCGCGGCUGAUUAGCUAGUUGGCGGGGUAACGGCCCACCAAGGCGAAGAUCGGUAGCCGGCCUGAGAGGGCGCACGGCCACACUGGAACUGAAACACGGUCCAG
Molecule: ribosomal RNA, 228 nt
Filed under: uncultured bacterium
Lineage: Bacteria
Description: partial 16S ribosomal RNA
Rfam family: Bacterial small subunit ribosomal RNA
Source: RNAcentral